RNAcentral lists this ribosomal RNA (772 nucleotides) under uncultured bacterium. RNAcentral describes it as "bacterial SSU rRNA". It matches the Rfam family "Bacterial small subunit ribosomal RNA", at positions 28 to 793 of the family's 1533-position model. The record is from RNAcentral.
AUUGAACGCUGGCGGCAUGCCUUACACAUGCAAGUCGAACGGCAGCACGGGGGCAACCCUGGUGGCGAGUGGCGAACGGGUGAGUAAUGCAUCGGAACGUGUCCUCUUGUGGGGGAUAACCAGUCGAAAGACUGGCUAAUACCGCAUGAGAUCGAAAGAUGAAAGCGGGGGACCGCAAGGCCUCGCGCGAGAGGAGCGGCCGAUGCCGGAUUAGCUAGUUGGUGGGGUAAUGGCCCACCAAGGCGACGAUCCGUAGCUGGUCUGAGAGGACGACCAGCCACACUGGGACUGAGACACGGCCCCAGACUCCUACGGGAGGCAGCAGUGGGGAAUUUUGGACAAUGGGCGCAAGCCUGAUCCAGCCAUGCCGCGUGUGUGAAGAAGGCCUCGGGUUGUAAAGCACUUUCGGACGGAACGAAAUCGCGCGCAUGAACAAUGCGCGUGGAUGACGGUACCGUAAGAAGAAGCACCGGCUAACUACGUGCCAGCAGCCGCGGUAAUACGUAGGGUGCAAGCGUUAAUCGGAAUUACUGGGCGUAAAGGGUGCGCAGGCGGCCCCGCAUGUCAGGCGUGAAAUCCCCGGGCUCAACCUGGGAAUGGCGCUUGAAACUACGGGGCUGGAGUGUGGCAGAGGGAGGUGGAAUUCCACGUGUAGCGGUGAAAUGCGUAGAUAUGUGGAGGAACACCGAUGGCGAAGGCAGCCUCCUGGGCCAACACUGACGCUCAUGCACGAAAAGCGUGGGGGAGCAAACAGGAUUAGAUACCCUGGUAG